This is a long non-coding RNA of Prosopis cineraria, 2181 nucleotides long. RefSeq lists it as uncharacterized. Lineage: Eukaryota; Viridiplantae; Streptophyta; Magnoliopsida; Fabales; Fabaceae. The record is from RefSeq and is a predicted model, not a curated record. The transcript has 4 exons.
AAAUUUAGUUUCUGCACGGAAGCAUUAGCUCCAGCUGUUUGCCCAUCUCAAUUUAUACCUGCUUCCCUUUCCCUGUCUAUUCUUUCCUCAUUCCAGUCUACGGUUAUUUUCAGGGCUCCAAGGUUAUCGGCUUCCCCGUUCGCUGCUCUUUCCCCAUGUAUCUUUGCGUUUCUCAAUACUCUCUAUCUUCAAGAAAUAUCGGGCCUCUCCCCAUGGUUCAGAUUCGGUGCAAAGCGGGAAAGGGGGUAAGAGGGACAGAGAUAUCUUCAUCCUUUUUCUUCGCUCGCUACAACCCUAGCAGCGAACAAAAUUCUUCAUUCUUCUUAUUCUGCUUCAAUACUAUGUGGUCUUCUUUCUUCAGUUCCUACCUUGAUUGAAUGCAGCGAACGAAAAUUUAUAUUUUGGAAUAUCUCUCACAAGUAAGAAUCGUGUAGAAGGUAAUAUGUUAUAAGAAGGUUGUAGGUGAUGCAAAUGCUGUAAAGAAUGCUAUAGUUCUUAUAUCAUCACGCUUGAGGGAAAGCCAACACCAUGACCGCAAUCAUUUUCAUGGACGAGCACAUUUACCAAAGCAAUUUUUCCCUCCUGAUGAUGAUUAAAUACGUAUUUCUACAUUGGGCUUGGUUUUUUGGUUUUUUGAUUCAUAAUGGAGAGAUAACAGUUUAAAACAUACUAUUAGAAGUUGAAAUAGUUUUUUCUCUUAUUAUUUCUGAUUACUACUUUGUAGUUGUUUUUGUAAUGCUUUUUGUCUUCAUUUCUCAUCACUUGGGAAGACGGUAAAUCUGGUUAGUGAUUGGUAUUUGCUAAUUGAGUGAUGAGUGAUUGCUAAUUAUUUUAGUAUGCUCAUCGAAAGUGCAUCCAGCAUUGGUGUAAUGAGAGAGGAUAUACAAUUUGUGAGAUUUUCUACAAGGAGUUGCUCUCACCAAAUAAACCUGUCAGCAAUUAAUUGUUCGGUACUCUUGACUACAUUAUUUUGACUUUCAAUAUGAAAUCUGAUAUGUUGUUUAUGAAAUCUGAUAUGUUGUUUGACCUUUUCCCUCAAUUUUUCCUCUCAACGUGUAAUUCUCUCUCAAUCUCAUCAGCAUGUCAUGCAUAAGGUGAAUCAACUGAAAAAGAAAGCCAUGCACGAAAAUUGCGAGCAAGGAAAAAAAGAUAUGCUUGAAAAAUGUCAUUGACACCAUGAACUGUAUGGUCUUGAACAUAAGUCAUCCCAACACAUAAAGAACUCAUUCGCAUUUAUUACCUUUUUUAACAAAAAGAAGCCAUAGGUCUAUCCCUCGGUUUCAUUGGUGAAUUGGCUUCUGUUAUGCACUACUUUUCUACUGCCUAAUUAAAUUUUUUAGUUGAAGUUCUGCAGUGGCAUUUGCUUUGAGCAAUAUCAAUGCAAAGGAAACUAUUUAAUUAUCAUUGUUGGGUGUAGCAACAUCAGUUGCUGCAAAGGCUCAAGGACAGAUAAGACACAGACUACCUUCCAUACCUUCUGUUUGGCCCAAGUUUUUUUAGUUGUUUUAUAUUUUGUAAAAAAAUAAUUGUGAUGUACGAUAUAUUGUUAAUAUGAGAAGCAAUUAUUAUUAUAACAUAAGAGGAGUUGUGAUGGUAUUGCAUUAUAUGCUAUAUUGGUUUUGUUUGCAAGGAAAUGGAGGAAAGGAGAAAAACAUGCUUUGUAAAGAGAACAUCAGAGCAAAGUGGGACCUUUGGGAAGUAAGCCACAGAUCCACAUUAGUUCUAAUAAGCGAUGAGCAGAACAUGCUUGACUGUUUAAGUUAUCUUGGGAAGCAGAUCUAAAAAGUAAAGUAAAGAUUUCUGUAGGCAAAGGGACCAUUGUUCCAUACCUCAAUUAUUCUGCAGAGAACUUACCUACUAAAAAUGCUACCAACUUAAAGGAGUUAUCUGGUUUGAAGUUUUCUCCUGAUCUGAGCAAGCCUUGCAUAUUAACACCAGACGAUAAUGGUAGUCAAAACCUGGAUAUAGUUUCAUCCAGGAUUCUAUUGUUUCUGGCACAAGCAAGGGAGGUGGAGAAUUGAUGAAGAAUGUGCCCUUGGCUGUUUUCUUUCUUGCUUUUGUCUUUCUUAGUUGUAUUUACCUUUAGUUGUAUUUACCCAUGCACGUGGUUGGCCUAAGACACUUGAUAUGAUGAGUACAUUUUGGCUAUCACAUCUCCGUAAAUUGGAGGUUUUUACUUUA